Molecule: unclassified non-coding RNA, 344 nt
Organism: Erinaceus europaeus (western European hedgehog)
Lineage: Eukaryota; Metazoa; Chordata; Mammalia; Eulipotyphla; Erinaceidae
Gene: 7SK
Rfam family: 7SK RNA
About the family: 7SK was discovered as an abundant small nuclear RNA in the mid-70s but a possible function has only recently been suggested. Two independent studies have found that 7SK RNA binds the CDK9/cyclin T complex (known as elongation factor P-TEFb).
Source: Ensembl
GCAUGUGAGGGCAAAGUGGCUACAACAUGUCACCCCAUUGAUCUCCUGGGUUGAUUUGGCUAAUGUGGCUGGCUAGGAGGUGUCCCCUUCCUCCCUCACCACUCCAUGUGUGUCCCUGUUGAAGCCACAUGCUUGUUCAAAAAGGACAGCCUUUCUGAAUAGAGACAGACAUGUCUUCGGUUGAGGGUAUAUGGGGAGCUGUGCUUCCCUGCUAGAACUUUUGAACAAGCUCUCAAGAAGCCUUAUAUGAAAGCUAAGGCACUAAUUAGAAAUGACUGGAAGACUAGGAAUUGUAGUAGGGCUAUGGGGAAACAUUGAGAAUAUUCUAACUAACUCCUACGUCU